This 460-nucleotide ribosomal RNA is filed under the name uncultured bacterium. RNAcentral describes it as "partial 16S ribosomal RNA". It matches the Rfam family "Bacterial small subunit ribosomal RNA", at positions 338 to 795 of the family's 1533-position model. The record is from RNAcentral.
CCUACGGGUGGCAGCAGUGAGGAAUAUUGGUCAAUGGACGAGAGUCUGAACCAGCCAAGUAGCGUGAAGGAUGACUGCCCUAUGGGUUGUAAACUUCUUUUAUAUGGGAAUAAAAUGUUCCACGUGUGGGAUUUUGUAUGUACCAUAUGAAUAAGGAUCGGCUAACUCCGUGCCAGCAGCCGCGGUAAUACGGAGGAUCCGAGCGUUAUCCGGAUUUAUUGGGUUUAAAGGGAGCGUAGGUGGAUUGUUAAGUCAGUUGUGAAAGUUUGCGGCUCAACCGUAAAAUUGCAGUUGAAACUGGCAGUCUUGAGUGCAGAAGAGGUUGGCGGAAUGUGUGGUGUAGCGGUGAAAUGCUUAGAUAUCACGAAGAACUCCGAUUGCGAAGGCAGUUCACUGGACUGCAACUGACACUGAGGCUCGAAAGUGUGGGUAUCAAACAGGAUUAGAUACCCUUGUAGUC